RNAcentral lists this ribosomal RNA (465 nucleotides) under uncultured bacterium. RNAcentral describes it as "partial 16S ribosomal RNA". It matches the Rfam family "Bacterial small subunit ribosomal RNA", at positions 338 to 795 of the family's 1533-position model. The record is from RNAcentral.
CCUACGGGUGGCAGCAGUAGGGAAUUUUCGUCAAUGGGCGCAAGCCUGAACGAGCGAUGCCGCGUGAGUGAAGAAGGCCUUCGGGUCGUAAAGCUCUGUUGCGGGGGAAAAAAGGCAGCAUCAGGAAAUGGGUGCUGACUGAUGGUGCCCCGCCAGAAAGUCACGGCUAACUACGUGCCAGCAGCCGCGGUAAUACGUAGGUGGCGAGCGUUAUCCGGAAUGAUUGGGCGUAAAGCGCUCGUAGGCGGUAUGUCAAGUCAAGGGUGAAAUCCCCGCGCUCAACGUGGGAACUGCCUUUGAAACUGGCAAACUGGAGUGUGUGAGAGGAUAGUGGAAUUCCAGGUGUAGGAGUGAAAUCCGUAGAUAUCUGGAGGAACAUCAGUGGCGAAGGCGACUAUCUGGCACAUAACUGACGCUGAGGAGCGAAAGCGUGGGUAGCAAACAGGAUUAGAUACCCUAGUAGUC